AGCGAACGCUGGCGGCAGGCUUAACACAUGCAAGUCGAACGGGCGUAGCAAUACGUCAGUGGCAGACGGGUGAGUAACGCGUGGGAACGUACCUUUUGGUUCGGAACAACCCAGGGAAACUUGGGUCUAAGUACCGGAUAAGACCCUUACGGGGAAAGAUUUAUCGCCGAAAGAUCGGCCCGCGUCUGAUUAGCUAGUUGGUGUGGUAACGGCGCACCAAGGCGACGAUCAGUAGCUGGUCUGAGAGGAUGAUCAGCCACAUUGGGAC
This 268-nucleotide ribosomal RNA is filed under the name uncultured bacterium. RNAcentral describes it as "partial 16S ribosomal RNA". It matches the Rfam family "Bacterial small subunit ribosomal RNA", at positions 29 to 319 of the family's 1533-position model. The record is from RNAcentral.